RNA transcript from Mastomys coucha (southern multimammate mouse), 867 nucleotides. It is a transcript of the gene named alpha-enolase pseudogene, with no coding region annotated. NCBI's taxonomy places the organism in Eukaryota, Metazoa, Chordata, Mammalia, Rodentia, Muridae. The transcript has a single exon. The record is from RefSeq and is a predicted model, not a curated record.
AUGACAUCAGGGACAGAGGAUCUAAGCAGCUGGUGGCUCCAGGGAUCUCCAGUCUAUGCUUUACUUGGCCAGGGGGUUCCUGAAGGACCUGCCAGCAAACUUGGCUUUGCUGCCCACCUCUUCCUCAAUUCUAAGGAUCUGAUUGUACUUGGCCAGGCGUUAGAGGUGUACCACAACCUGAAGAAUGUCAUCAAGGAGAAGUACGGGAAGGAUGCCACCAAUGUGGGUGACGAGGGUGGAUUCGCACCUAACAUCCUGGAGAACAAGGACGCACUGGAGCUGCUCAAGACUGCAAUUGCCAAGGCCGGCUACACUGACAAGGUUGUCAUCAGCAUGGAUGUGGCUGCCUCCGAGUUCUACAGGUCUGGCAAGUAUGACCUGGACUUCAAGUCCCCGGAUGACCCCAGCAGGUACAUCACACCUGACCAGCUGGCCGAUCUGUACAAGUCCUUCAUCCAGGGCCACCCAGUGGUGUCCAUUGAAGACCCCUUUGACCAGGACGACUGGGAUGCCUGGCAGAAGUUCACAGCUAGUGCAGGCAUCCAGGUGGUGGGCGACGACCUCACAGUGACCAACCCUAAGCGGAUUGUCAAGGCUGCAGGCGAGAAGUCCUGCAACUGCCUCCUGCUCAUAGUGAACCAGACGUCUGGAACUCUUACCUGUCACAGUUGUAAGUCCCUUACGGGUUGCUUACAACUAUCAGCCACGGAGGCCGGCUUCCUCCUUCAGCCUCACCACACCCUCUCAGAGGCCGGCUUCUCCUUCAGCCUCACCACACCCUCUCAGAGGCCGGCUUCUCUUUCAGCCUCACUACACCUUCUCAGAGGCUGGCUUCUCCUUCAGCCUUACUACUACAAACCCAGAUAG